RNAcentral lists this ribosomal RNA (253 nucleotides) under uncultured bacterium. RNAcentral describes it as "partial 16S ribosomal RNA". It matches the Rfam family "Bacterial small subunit ribosomal RNA", at positions 524 to 776 of the family's 1533-position model. The record is from RNAcentral.
UACGUAGGGUGCAAGCGUUGUCCGGAAUUAUUGGGCGUAAAGAGCUCGUAGGCGGUCUGUCGCGUCGGCUGUGAAAACCCGAGGCUCAACCUCGGGCCUGCAGUCGAUACGGGCAGACUAGAGUGUGGUAGGGGAGACUGGGAUUCCUGGUGUAGCGGUGAAAUGCGCAGAUAUCAGGAGGAACACCGGCGGCGAAGGCGGGUCUCUGGGCCAUAACUGACGCUGAGGAGCGAAAGCGUGGGGAGCGAACAGG